Manduca sexta (tobacco hornworm) is the source of this 1714-nucleotide long non-coding RNA. RefSeq lists it as uncharacterized. Lineage: Eukaryota; Metazoa; Arthropoda; Insecta; Lepidoptera; Sphingidae. The transcript has 4 exons. The record is from RefSeq and is a predicted model, not a curated record.
UUCAGUUCGAACCGUCGUGGGGUAAGCGCGUCGCAUUUUUGCGAAAAUAUCAACAGAAAUAAAGCCGUGAAUUCAAAUAUAGAACGCGUAAAACACACUCGUGUCAAGGAUCAUUGACGAGAUGUUUAUUUUUAAUUUUUUGCACGUUCAAAACCAACGCACGUUUUGCGAAAAAAAAAAUGGCGGUGUGUUAUAAUUUCGUGGUGUAUAUCAAUUAUGAAAUAGAAGGAAAAUGUACGAUUUGAAUGGAUGACAAUUGCUGUUGAUGCGAGCGGAGCGGGCAGCUGCACAGAUCGCGUUACGGAUGAGGGUACUUGGACAUGGCGAGCUCUCAACAUCUGCGGUGUGAAGAUCUGGAGGAGAAAUGAAUAGGCUAUAUCCAUAUACGCAAGAGUCGAGGACAUUUUAAACUAAUUUAUGUUUUGAGCUUGGAAAUAACUUUAUUAUUGAAAAUUAUAGCUUAUACUAAUAAUUUUGGAUUUACUUAAUAUUAUAAUACACUAGAAAUUUUAAUAUUCGAACUCUAAAAGAAAUCGUAUAAUAUAAGAACGGGUGUCACUUUUAUAUAAUAUAUAUUUUUUCUAUCCCACAGGGUUCCCAUCACAGUCAUUUUCUGCAUUUACACUGUGACAAAUACAACUUCGUCACAUUUGGGAUGCAGGAAUAUGGACCGCGACGUGCACUGCCAUCUGUCGACCAACACAAGAAACAAACCUCGAAACAUGUUCCGGCUACCCGACGCUAGAUGGCGUUGAAGACCGAAUGUACUGUGUCGUGCCCUUGUCAUUCUUCUUGCCUGUGUGUGUUGAUACAACUGGACGGAGAACUGAUAAGGGCAUGACCUUUACAAUGGCUCCACGGCAGCAGAAGAUAGCGCGCAUUUGGAUGAAAUAUAUUGUGUUAUACGCCUUUCAUUUAGUUUUGUAUACAUUGGUUUGUUUGUAGUUAAGUGAAAUUAUAUUCAAACUAAAAUAAUGUUAUAUUAUCAUUACAUAUAAAUUAUUACAUCUUAUUUAUAUGGAAAAGUGAUAUUUAAUUUCUAUGACAGAAAUAUAGUAAAGGUUUAAAUUCUGUUCCAUUACUUAGAUGACUCUAUUACCAAUGACGACACAUUGACUUUAGAUUUCUCCAAACGUCUCUACUUUCCAAAAUAUUGUUUUUCUACUAAUGACUACAUUAAUAAAUUUCAAGUAUAUCCAACUAUACACCUAUUCUCGAACAUUAUUCAAAUUAUUAUAUCAGUCAAGUUCUGAUUACAUUUAACGCCUUUAGAGAAAGACUUCAUUGGUGCUCAAUGCUUACUGAUGUUGCGUAAGAAACUUGUGCAAAAUGUAAUGCUUCUAGAGCCUGUUUAAACUAUCCUUUGUCAGUUUGUGUUAGUACUUAAGUAAAAGAUGUUUUGUUAGAUUGUUUUGUUCCACUGAAUAUAAACAUAUUUAUUUAAAUCAUCUGUAUCUGACCUAAAACUUGACGAAACUUUUCAUCCUUUUCCAUAAUUCAAAGAAGCCUCUGUAUUUAGUUUAAAAUUACUUUAUGUAUAUUUUCUUGUGUAUUUUUUUUGUGUAUUUAUAUAUUUGUAUGAUGUUUUUAUAUUUUCUUUGUUAAUAUGAAGUUACAUAAUACUUUUUAUGCUGUAUUGUUUAAUGUGUAAACGUGUCUACACAGAUGUAAUUAAUUAAAUGAUAAAAUUUAUUAAAUAAACUAUUUUACUAUA